Molecule: small nuclear RNA, 19 nt
Filed under: Arabidopsis thaliana (thale cress)
Lineage: Eukaryota; Viridiplantae; Streptophyta; Magnoliopsida; Brassicales; Brassicaceae
Description: snRNA_07730
Source: RNAcentral
AGUGGUUCAGGACAUCUCU